GAUAAACUUACGGUGGCAGAGGGUGCUGUUAUAACUAGGAGUGAUGAAGAAGUUUGGCUUUGUGGUCUUUAUCACAGAAAGCUUUAAGAAUGGCUCCUCAGAAAUUUGGAAGAGAAUUGACACCCUUGAGAAGAUUGUUUACAGGUAGAGACUGCACCAGGUGGGGUCGUCACACAAAGGAAACUUUAUUUGCAGCAAAAAAGGGAGAUCAAGGAGGAUAAUUCCAAAAGCUGGGACUCCCCGAGCAAGGGCAUAGUACUAGAAGUCCUAGCCUCAGCACUCAGACAACAAAAAGAAAUAAAAGGCAUCUGAAUCAGCAAAGAAGUCAAACUCUCACUCUUUGCAGAUGGUAUGAUACUUUAUGUGGAAAACCCAAAAGACUCCACCCCAAAACUGUUAGAACUCAUACAGGAAUUCAGUAAAGUGGCAGGAUAUAAAAUCAAUGCACAGAAAUCAGUUUCAUUUCUGUACACCAAUGACAAGACAGAAGAAAGAGAAAUUAAGGAGUUGAUCCCACUCACAAUAGCACCCCAAACCAUAAGAUACCUAGGAAUAAAUCUAACCAAAGAGGCAAAGAAUCUGUAUGCAGAAAACUAUAGAAUACUCAUGAAAGAAACUGAGGAAGACACAAAGAAAUGGAAAAACAUUCCAUGUUCAUGGAUUGGAAGAACAAAUAUUGUGAAAAUGUCUAUGCUACCUAGAGCAAUCUACACAUUUAAUGCAAUCCCUAUCAAAAUACCAUCAACUUUUUCACAGAAAUGGAACAAAUAAUCCUAAAAUUUGUAUGAAACCAGAAGAGACCCCGAAUAGCCAGAGGAAUGUUGAAAAAGAAAAGCAAAGCUGGUGGCAUCACAAUUCUGGACUUCAAGCUCUAUUACAAAGCUGUCAUCAUCAAGACAGUAUGGUACUGCACAAAAACAGGCACACAGAUCAAUGGAACAGAAUAGAGAGCCCAGAAAUGGACCCUCAACUCUAUGGUCAACUCAUCUUCGACAAAGCAGGAAAGAAUGUCCAAUGGCAAAAAGACAGUCUCUUCAACAAAUGGUGUUGGGAAAAUUGGACAGCCACAUGCAGAAGAAUGAAACUGGACCAUUUUCUUAUACCACACACAAAAAUAGACUCAAAAUAGAUGAAAAACCUAAAUGUGAGACAGGAGGCCAUCAAAAUCCUAAAGGAGAACACAGGCAGCAACCUCUUCGACCUCAGCCGCCGCAACUUCUUCCUAGACACAUCACCAAAGGCAAGGGAAGCAAGGGCAAAAAUGAACUAUUGGGACUUCAUCAAGAUAAAAAGCUUUUGCACAGCCAAAGAAACGGUCAACAAAACCAAAAGACAACUGACAGAAUGGGAGAAGAUAUUUGCAAAUGACAUAUCAGAAAAAGGGCUAGUAUCCAAAAUCUAUAAAGAACUUAUCAAACUCAACACCCAAAGAACAAAUGAUCCAAUCAAGAAAUGGGCAGAAGACAUGACAUUUCUGCAAAGAAGACAUCCAAAUGGCCAACAGACACAUGAAAAAGUGCUCAACAUCACUCAACAUCAGGGACAUACAAAUCAAAACCUCAAUGAGAUACCACCUCACACCAGUCAGAAUGGCUAAAAUUAACAAGUCAAGAAACGACAGAUGUUGGCGAGGAUGAGGAAAAAGGGGAACCCUCCUACACUGUUGGUGGGAAUGCAAGCUGGUGCAGCCACUCUGGAAAAUAGUAUGGAGGUUCCUCAAAAAGUUGAAAAUAGAGCUACUUUAUGACCCAGCAAUUGCACACUGGGUGUUCACCCCAAAGAUACAAAUAUAGUGAUCCGAAGGGGCACGUGCACCCUAAUGCUUAUAGCAGCAAUGUCCACAAUUGUCAAACUAUGGAAAGAGCCAAGAUGUCCAUCAACAGAUGAAUGGAUAAAGAAGACGUGAUACACACACACACACACACACACACACUGGAAUAUUAUGUAGCCAUCAAAAAAUGAAAUCUUGCCAUUUGCAACAACAUGGAUGGAACUAGAGGGUAUUAUACUAAGCGAAAUAAGUCCAUCAGAGAAAGACAAUUAUUAUAUGAUCUCACUGAUAUGUUGAAUUUGAGAAACAAGGCAGAGGAUCAUAGGGGAAGAGAGGAUAAAAUGAAACAAGACAAAACUGGAGAGGGAGACAAACCAUAAGAGACUCUUAAUCUCAGGAAACAAACUGAGGGUUGC
Molecule: long non-coding RNA, 2187 nt
Organism: Mirounga angustirostris (Northern elephant seal)
Lineage: Eukaryota; Metazoa; Chordata; Mammalia; Carnivora; Phocidae
Exons: 3
Source: RefSeq, a predicted model, not a curated record